RNAcentral lists this unclassified non-coding RNA (206 nucleotides) under Hevea brasiliensis (rubber tree). Lineage: Eukaryota; Viridiplantae; Streptophyta; Magnoliopsida; Malpighiales; Euphorbiaceae. The record is from RNAcentral.
ACGAGAUCCGCGAGGCCCUCACCUCUUGCCGCGAAUUCCAGAAGGAGCAGAAGCUAGGGCUCCAUGAUUUCACCGGAGCGGUGUUUGAGAGGCGGUUGUACGGGCCGGAUGAUUUCGGGGAGCUCGAGACUAUGCCAACCCGGCCGGAGAGCUACCAGUAUCUGCUCGGGUGUCUGCAGGUGCCGGCGUUCUCGCUGAUGGGGAUG